UGUGACUGCACAAGUCAAAGACAUUAAUUGACCCCCACAGCAGCAGGAAGGGGUAUAGCUCAGGGUUAGAGCAUUAGACUGUGAACCAAGAGGCCACCAGUUCGAUUCUGGAUACCCCCUCCGCAUUUUUAAUUUUGACAUUUUUACAUAGGUGCCCACAUUUUAACUUCUUCCUUAUUAGACACUCAGACACUAGGGUAAAUGUUUCAUUUUUUUUUUUUUUUUCUGAAACCAGCAAUGGUGAGGCUAGAAUGUGGUGGUUCUUAACCCCAGGUAUAAACUAGAAUCACCUGAAGAGUCCAUAAAAGUGCCAUUUCCCGGGCCCCACCCCAGACCAAUUAAAUCGGAACAUCUAGAGUGGGGCCCCAGGCUGGUGAAAGCUUCCCAGGGGGCUCUAGACUGCAGCUAAGGGCAAGACCCUGCUUUAGCAGAGCUUCCAAGAAGGCUCCUUAGCCCAAGACUGCAUUGUUCCCACUCUGCCUCUUCUUAUUCAUCCUUAUUUGAACCCCAAAUAUCUAGAGAAAGGUCUCAGUUAAUUAAGAAAGUGAAUUUUGCCAAGGCUGCAGAUGCGCGUCUGUGACACUGCCUCAGGCGAGUCCUGACGACCUGUGCCCAAGGUGGUAGGGGCACAGCUUGGUUUUAUACAUUUUAGGGACAAAUAAGCUAUCAAUCAAUAUGUAUAAGAUGCAUACUCGUUCCAUCUGGAAAGGUGGGACAAUGCCAGGCGAAGGUGGGACAACUGGAAGCUGGGAGGGGGCUUCCAGGUCAUAGGUAGAGACAAAAGGUUGCAUUCUUUUGGGUUUCUAAUGAGCCUCUCUAAAAGAGGCAAUCUGAUACAGAUUUAUCUCGUAAGCAGACGGGUGACUCUGAAUAAAAUCAGGUUUGCCCUAAGCAGUUCCCAGCUUGACUUCUGCCUUUAGCUUAGUGAUUUGGGGGCCCCAAGAUUGAUUUUCAUUUCACGCUUAUGUGGACAGUACUUAAAACUAGACCAGAACAGCAUCUUCCAGAAACAAAGGCUCUUUCAGCAUUUCCUAGUUGUCUUAAUUGUACCCCUUCUGGAUCCAGUCAUUCUGCCUGGGUUGGGGUGGUACUGGUCUUCUAUUUCCAAGACAAACCACCAGGAUCUAUUGCUCAAUGAGUAAGCCCUUAGAAGGCCAAGACAGUUUGCAGAAGAUGAAAUGUCAACAUGUUAAAAUAUAAGUAAGUUCUACGUUGUGUUCACAUGUUCCAAUUCUCAAUGGCAAUUUUAUGUCAUAGUUAAGCUUUAAAGGCGAACUUCUGCAGAAGGGAUCACUGAAUUGUAUCAACCAUCUCAAAAACUAGACGAUGUCAUGGCGUUCUAUGCUUUAGAGAACAAACAGCUUUUUUGACACAAAUCUUAAAAUUCGUGGAGGUUCAGCUACACAGCAUAGAAUUCAGAAGCACAAUUCAUGAUUUUUAGUAUCCCUUUUACUAAUCAUGGUUUAUGAACCUUUUUAAAAAGUACCUAAAAUACAUUUAAUAAUUCAGAUUUAUGUACACAACAGAAGUUUAUAUUUUAGUUGGUUAAAAACAUGUUCCUGUAAUUAUCUGAAAGCAAGAAAGUCUUACUAUCUUUACAUUGAAUGGCAGGAAAACACAACAGAGAAGCAGGCAUUGAAGACAGAGCCUGGUCAAGUGUAGUGUCAUUUGAGGCUCUGUCUAAUUUGAUCAUUUAGCAAAUGGCGCUUUGCUCUACUCCUCUGAGUUGAAAAUAUUCUGCAUCCUGUGACUCUCCUUAUUAGUACAAGAUGUAGUGGCCUGAAAAACAGAGCCACUGUUUUUCAAUAAAUAAAAGAAAAAUCUUUUAUUUUCAAUGAUGUGCUGCAUAAUUUCCUAUUCA
Pongo abelii (Sumatran orangutan) is the source of this 1861-nucleotide long non-coding RNA. Lineage: Eukaryota; Metazoa; Chordata; Mammalia; Primates; Hominidae. The record is from Ensembl.